RNAcentral lists this ribosomal RNA (465 nucleotides) under uncultured Kingella sp. RNAcentral describes it as "bacterial SSU rRNA". It matches the Rfam family "Bacterial small subunit ribosomal RNA", at positions 338 to 795 of the family's 1533-position model. Lineage: Bacteria; Pseudomonadati; Pseudomonadota; Betaproteobacteria; Neisseriales; Neisseriaceae. The record is from RNAcentral.
CCUACGGGUGGCAGCAGUGGGGAAUUUUGGACAAUGGGCGCAAGCCUGAUCCAGCCAUGCCGCGUGUCUGAAGAAGGCCUUCGGGUUGUAAAGUACUUUUGUUAGGGAAGAAAAGGCAUAUGCUAAUAUCAGAUGCUGAUGACGGUACCUAAAGAAUAAGCACCGGCUAACUACGUGCCAGCAGCCGCGGUAAUACGUAGGGUGCGAGCGUUAAUCGGAAUUACUGGGCGUAAAGCGAGCGCAGACGGUUACUUAAGCAAGAUGUGAAAUCCCCGAGCUCAACUUGGGAACUGCGUUUUGAACUGGGUAGCUAGAGUGUGUCAGAGGGGGGUAGAAUUCCUCGUGUAGCAGUGAAAUGCGUAGAGAUGUGGAGGAAUACCGAUGGCGAAGGCAGCCUCCUGGGAUAACACUGACGUUCAUGCUCGAAAGCGUGGGUAGCAAACAGGAUUAGAUACCCUAGUAGUC